AUACGGAGGGUGCAAGCGUUGUCCGGAUUUAUUGGGUUUAAAGGGUGUGUAGGCGGUGUAUUAAGUCAGUGGUGAAAGCCUGCGGCUCAACCGUAGAACUGCCAUUGAUACUGACACACUUGAGUAUGGACGAGGUAGGCGGAAUUUAUGGUGUAGCGGUGAAAUGCAUAGAUACCAUAAAGAACACCGAUAGCGAAGGCAGCUUACUAGGCCAUAACUGACGCUGAGGCACGAAAGCGUGGGGAGCGAACAGGAUUAGAAACCCUUGUAGUCC
Molecule: ribosomal RNA, 274 nt
Filed under: uncultured bacterium
Lineage: Bacteria
Description: partial 16S ribosomal RNA
Rfam family: Bacterial small subunit ribosomal RNA
Source: RNAcentral